Molecule: long non-coding RNA, 1561 nt
Organism: Beta vulgaris subsp. vulgaris (sugar beet)
Lineage: Eukaryota; Viridiplantae; Streptophyta; Magnoliopsida; Caryophyllales; Amaranthaceae
Exons: 3
Source: RefSeq, a predicted model, not a curated record
GUGUUGUCAUUAAGUAUGUUCCAUAUGUGGGAGACAGCAAGAGAGCCAUGGAUGAGUACACAUCCGAGAUAUUUAUGGGCGGAAAGAACACCAUCGUCCUGCACAACACCUGUAGAGACUCUCUCUUGGCUGCACCGAUUAUCCUCGAUUUGGUCCUCCUUGCUGAGCUUAGCACCCGCAUUGAAUUCAAGGCUGAAACAGAGGACAAGUUCCACUCCUUCCAUCCAGUUGCUACCAUACUCAGUUACCUUACUAAAGCACCUUUGUAAGUUCUAUUCCCCUCUUGUUGAUUGCUUUUGCUUCUUUUUUUGGGCUUACAGUUACUAGUAAGUAUAUUGUCAAUUUAAGGCGUCAAAUCUUGCCGGUCAAAUCCAAGAGUAAUAUCGUGAGUAAUUUGAAGGUGGUGCACAAGAAAAAGCCCACAUGAAACAUCAUCAAAAUGACUUUUGUUGUUAUUUUGGGGGGAAAGUGACAGGUAUACUAGCGCUUCUGCGGAAAUAUAGGGCUAUUUUAGAAGGCUUAAAAUUUUUUACCCCCUUUUAACUUAUUCAAAUUGCCAUCGUGAUAGUUGAUACCAUAUGGCUAUAUGCACCAGUAUUAAAUAACGAGUUUCAUAGUUACAUGGGAUCACCGUAAGUACAUGUCAGAUCCUUGACACUCACAUGGACUCGGACACUUGGAUACUUCAUUUUGGGCCAAAAUCAUUGAAAAUUUUCAUAAAUUAGUCGAGUCAGAGAUACUUGGACACAUACGUGUCAGACAUGAUACAAGAGUCUAGUGCCCACUAUGCUUGUCAUUGAUGCUUAUAAUAUGACUAUGCUCUCUUAAAAAGUCAUUAGUCAAUAUUGCCUUUUGCUAAAGCUUAAGUAAUCAAACUUGUUAUACCAUAUUCAGAAAAUUUAUCGCAAGUUGUGUACUAAAAAGUUGAGAUCUUGAACAAUUUGAUAGGUUCCACCGGGCACUCCUGUGGUGAACGCGCUCUCGAAACAGAGGGCAAUGCUGGAGAACAUUAUGAGGGCAUGCGUCGGUUUAGCUCCCGAGAACAACAUGAUUCUCGAGUACAAGUAGAGUAGCAUCUACACAAGCAGCACAGCAGCAGCAGCAGCCGCCACAGCCACAGCCACAGCCACAUCCCCCAAAGGGCGCUUCGCAAAUAAAAGAGACGUUGAUCUGGAAGUUGUUAAUUUGUGCUUAUUGCUGUUGUGUUUUCGCAUUAGUGACUGGAAAGGCAGCACCCAUUAAUGAAAUUUUAGCUUUGUGGUGGUCUUGCCCCUUUUUUUCUGUCUUCAUUAUUUCUGUUUUAAAAUGUUUCUUAGGUCCAUCAACUUUUCCUGGUAGUGGAUCCCUUGUCCGUCUUUGUAAUGUAUAGUUGUUGGUGUUAGCAAUAUUGAGAGUAAUGCAGUUUUUCUUGCUUAGCUUAAUCUAUGUAAUUAUGGAAUUAUUAAGUAUUGCCUAAGUUUGCUGUGGUUACCUUAAGCUCUAAUUUUUUUCAUUGAAUAUAUAUGCUGUUGUCAAAAAUAUAAUUGGAAAAAUUGAUUCUAAUAAUUCAAUUUUUUGGUCA